Molecule: ribosomal RNA, 491 nt
Filed under: Pseudomonas trivialis
Lineage: Bacteria; Pseudomonadati; Pseudomonadota; Gammaproteobacteria; Pseudomonadales; Pseudomonadaceae
Description: bacterial SSU rRNA
Rfam family: Bacterial small subunit ribosomal RNA
Source: RNAcentral
GGCAUGGCGGCAGCUACCAUGCAGUCGAGCGGUAGAGAGAAGCUUGCUUCUCUUGAGAGCGGCGGACGGGUGAGUAAUGCCUAGGAAUCUGCCUGGUAGUGGGGGAUAACGUUCGGAAACGGACGCUAAUACCGCAUACGUCCUACGGGAGAAAGCAGGGGACCUUCGGGCCUUGCGCUAUCAGAUGAGCCUAGGUCGGAUUAGCUAGUUGGUGAGGUAAUGGCUCACCAAGGCGACGAUCCGUAACUGGUCUGAGAGGAUGAUCAGUCACACUGGAACUGAGACACGGUCCAGACUCCUACGGGAGGCAGCAGUGGGGAAUAUUGGACAAUGGGCGAAAGCCUGAUCCAGCCAUGCCGCGUGUGUGAAGAAGGUCUUCGGAUUGUAAAGCACUUUAAGUUGGGAGGAAGGGCAGUUACCUAAUACGUGAUUGUUUUGACGUUACCGACAGAAUAAGCACCGGCUAACUCUGUGCCAGCCGCCGCGGUAAU